AUUCGAGUAGUAUAAUUAUUACAAUACAUUUUCAAUGUAUAGACAGAUCAUAUCUCUUGAAUAU
RNAcentral lists this transfer RNA (64 nucleotides) under Streptocephalus sirindhornae. RNAcentral's name for it is "tRNA-Glu". Lineage: Eukaryota; Metazoa; Arthropoda; Branchiopoda; Anostraca; Streptocephalidae. The record is from RNAcentral.